GAAUAUUGGACAACGGGCGCAAGCCUGAUCCAGCCAUACCGCGUGGGUGAAGAAGGCCUUCGGGUUGUAAAGCCCUCUUGUUGGGAAAGAAAAGCAGUCGGCUAAUACCCGGUUGCUCUGCCGGUCCCCAACGCAUAAGCACCGGCUACUCUCGUGCCAGCAGCCGAGGUAAUACGAAGGGUGCAAGCGUUACUCGGAAUUACUGGGCGUAAAGCGUGCGUAGGUGGUUGUUUAAGUCGGUUGUGAAAGCCCUGGGCUCAACCUGGGAAUUGCAGUGGAUACUGGGCGACUAGAGUGUGGUAGAGGGUAGUGGAAUUCCCGGUGUAGCAGUGAAAUGCGUAGAGGUCGGGAGGAACAUCCAUGGCGAAGGUAGCUACCUGGACCAACACUGACACUGAGGCACGAAAGCGUGGGGAGCAAACAG
This 424-nucleotide ribosomal RNA is filed under the name uncultured bacterium. RNAcentral's name for it is "partial 16S ribosomal RNA". It matches the Rfam family "Bacterial small subunit ribosomal RNA", at positions 359 to 775 of the family's 1533-position model. The record is from RNAcentral.